ACUCCUACGGGAGGCAGCAGUAGGGAAUCUUCCACAAUGGGCGCAAGCCUGAUGGAGCAACACCGCGUGAGUGAAGAAGGGUUUCGGCUCGUAAAGCUCUGUUGUUAAAGAAGAACACGUAUGAGAGUAACUGUUCAUACGUUGACGGUAUUUAACCAGAAAGUCACGGCUAACUACGUGCCAGCAGCCGCGGUAAUACGUAGGUGGCAAGCGUUAUCCGGAUUUACUGGGCGUAAAGAGAGUGCAGGCGGUUUUCUAAGUCUGAUGUGAAAGCCUUCGGCUUAACCGGAGAAGUGCAUCGGAAACUGGAUAACUUGAGUGCAGAAGAGGGUAGUGGAACUCCAUGUGUAGCGGUGGAAUGCGUAGAUAUAUGGAAGAACACCAGUGGCGAAGGCGGCUACCUGGUCUGCAACUGACGCUGAGACUCGAAAGCAUGGGUAGUGAACAGGAUUAGAUACCCUGGUAGGAUAGCG
RNAcentral lists this ribosomal RNA (473 nucleotides) under uncultured bacterium. RNAcentral describes it as "bacterial SSU rRNA". It matches the Rfam family "Bacterial small subunit ribosomal RNA", at positions 335 to 801 of the family's 1533-position model. The record is from RNAcentral.